Long non-coding RNA from Cyprinodon variegatus (sheepshead minnow), 1915 nucleotides. RefSeq lists it as uncharacterized. NCBI's taxonomy places the organism in Eukaryota, Metazoa, Chordata, Actinopteri, Cyprinodontiformes, Cyprinodontidae. The record is from RefSeq and is a predicted model, not a curated record. The transcript has 3 exons.
UAGGUCCAUGCGGACAGGUCGAUCUCACUGUCUUGCUUUGGGCUCUGAUCAUUUUGUAGGCGCAUUUCCCUGCGGCUUUGUGGUGUUUUGUUGGUUUCAUUUCUUGUCUGAAAGUGUCACCAUCCAGACACUGGCAUCGAGGACUCUGUGGUUUUUGUUUCAUCCCUGCAUGUGGAAGGGAGGACUGGUGUGAAGUUGUGCGUCGUUUACAGGCUUGAUAGGCAAGCCUCUGAAUCUCGAUUACGAGAUGCAAACAGGCAGCCCUCUCAGAGUUGCAUUCAUUUCUCGACAUGUGGGCACACACUUACUGUCAGUGACUCACCUUGGAAGCUUUGUUUGUGGUGAUUCCAAACCAUGGAUUCUCCUUCUUUUCUCAUUCCGUUCACUCCUUGGCAAAGGAGGAGCAUUUGCUGGGCUAUGGAAUGAGAAAUAAAAAUGAACUUAAUCAUUUCAGGAAUUCUUUUAAAAUAAACCAUAAAAGAUCACACUUGUUUAAUUAUCACAAAUGCAUCUUUUACCCCUUUAAAAACUGCAUUUAUUUGAUAUGAAUAAGUUAGAUGGUGGCCAGCAUCGGUUCAGAAUAAUGUAAUCAUAUAUGAUGGUAAAGUUUCUUACUAUAAAUCUUUUAUAAAAUAUCUGUAAAGUAAAAAGCAUGUUCUGAAAUAUUUAAAUGCAACUGUUAUUUUUCCUCUUAACAAUAUAUAUAAAUGAAAGCCUGGUAAAUUAAAUAGGAUGUUGCAAAUGCCUUUAUUGUUUUAGCUUUCUGCUGAAAAAGUCAAAUUUUAAAGCUAAAGUAACAUUGUUUUCUUUUAUUGCUUUUCUCCUUUUUCUCUGUUGUCUUUCUGCUUGGCUGGGGGAGAAAAGUGUAGGUGGCCUUAUUUUGAGCCAGCUGGCCUCCAGUGUGCAGGGAGAGGUUUGGUGGGAUCUUAGCCCCCUCCCAACCGCCGCUUCAGCAAGUGUGACAUUUCCCAGCGGAUUGCAUGUGCCCGUCUGCAGCCGGAAUCCCUCUAAAAAACACUUCAGGUGUUCACAAACCAGACUGGGGGGGUGGGUGUCUCUGAAAUAAUUAAGACGAACGCCUUUACUGCAAUCUCCUAUUCAGCACUGCCAAAUAAAGACAGUAUUGAGCUCCAAACAAAGAGCAGCGUCAACUUUAUUCCAACCCACUUGGGGGAUGUUUAAGGCGCUCCAGCACAGUUUUAUGCAUAAUGCACGGCCAUAAACCAUCCAGGAGUUAAGAGGGAGAUGUGUAAUUUACUAAGGCCUCAUGCUGUGCCACUGCUAUAAAGGGAGGAGAUAAUUACCACAAAUCCGUGGCAAACUUUUAUUUAACCAAUUUCUUCAAAAAAAGUGACCCACUUUGAGAGGGAGCUGAUCAAUAUGACCCCGUCUGAAACGACUCAGGCUACCUUAUCACACUGAAGGCUGUGCACAGCUUAAUCCUCCUGAUCUCCAUUCAGGCUGUAUAAUUAAACGUUGGUUUCUUUGUUACAGAAACAAUCCCAAUCCAGUUUAACCACUGCGCAUUUAAUAAAAAAGAAUGAAAAGAAAAAAGGUUUGAAUCCUGUCUCUGCCAUAUCAUUGCCUAUACAGUCGGUGCACCAUAGGUCAGUGAAUAGAAGUGCCCACUGACAAAAGCCUGAGGCCCGGAGGUUGCCUCACUUUCCACCCCCCCCUCCCUCUUCUUCUCUUCAUAAACUGCACACUUUUUGUCUCGUUUCACAGCAAAUUUCUGCCAACUUCAGUGUUCAUUGUCAGCAAAGAUGAGUGCAGAGUUUUGUUCUGAGAGGCAUGAUGCAACCGCGCUGUAACACCAAACAGAUAAUGCUGUUAGCUACAGAGGUCUUUUUAGUUCCUUUCUUUAAAAGAUUUUCUUUUCAUAUUGUUAAGUUUCACUUUUUUUUAACUCCAUGCA